This 1510-nucleotide ribosomal RNA is filed under the name Helicobacter pylori. RNAcentral's name for it is "bacterial SSU rRNA". It matches the Rfam family "Bacterial small subunit ribosomal RNA". The record is from RNAcentral. Lineage: Bacteria; Pseudomonadati; Campylobacterota; Epsilonproteobacteria; Campylobacterales; Helicobacteraceae.
UUUUAUGGAGAGUUUGAUCCUGGCUCAGAGUGAACGCUGGCGGCGUGCCUAAUACAUGCAAGUCGAACGAUGAAGCUUCUAGCUUGCUAGAAUGCUGAUUAGUGGCGCACGGGUGAGUAACGCAUAGGUCAUGUGCCUCUUAGUUUGGGAUAGCCAUUGGAAACGAUGAUUAAUACCAGAUACUCCCUACGGGGGAAAGAUUUAUCGCUAAGAGAUCAGCCUAUGUCCUAUCAGCUUGUUGGUAAGGUAAUGGCUUACCAAGGCUAUGACGGGUAUCCGGCCUGAGAGGGUGAACGGACACACUGGAACUGAGACACGGUCCAGACUCCUACGGGAGGCAGCAGUAGGGAAUAUUGCUCAAUGGGGGAAACCCUGAAGCAGCAACGCCGCGUGGAGGAUGAAGGUUUUAGGAUUGUAAACUCCUUUUGUUAGAGAAGAUAAUGACGGUAUCUAACGAAUAAGCACCGGCUAACUCCGUGCCAGCAGCCGCGGUAAUACGGAGGGUGCAAGCGUUACUCGGAAUCACUGGGCGUAAAGAGCGCGUAGGCGGGAUAGUCAGUCAGGUGUGAAAUCCUAUGGCUUAACCAUAGAACUGCAUUUGAAACUACUAUUCUAGAGUGUGGGAGAGGUAGGUGGAAUUCUUGGUGUAGGGGUAAAAUCCGUAGAGAUCAAGAGGAAUACUCAUUGCGAAGGCGACCUGCUGGAACAUUACUGACGCUGAUUGCACGAAAGCGUGGGGAGCAAACAGGAUUAGAUACCCUGGUAGUCCACGCCCUAAACGAUGGAUGCUAGUUGUUGGAGGGCUUAGUCUCUCCAGUAAUGCAGCUAACGCAUUAAGCAUCCCGCCUGGGGAGUACGGUCGCAAGAUUAAAACUCAAAGGAAUAGACGGGGACCCGCACAAGCGGUGGAGCAUGUGGUUUAAUUCGAAGAUACACGAAGAACCUUACCUAGGCUUGACAUUGAGAGAAUCCGCUAGAAAUAGUGGAGUGUCUGGCUUGCCAGACCUUGAAAACAGGUGCUGCACGGCUGUCGUCAGCUCGUGUCGUGAGAUGUUGGGUUAAGUCCCGCAACGAGCGCAACCCCCUUUCUUAGUUGCUAACAGGUCAUGCUGAGAACUCUAAGGAUACUGCCUCCGUAAGGAGGAGGAAGGUGGGGACGACGUCAAGUCAUCAUGGCCCUUACGCCUAGGGCUACACACGUGCUACAAUGGGGUGCACAAAGAGAAGCAAUACUGCGAAGUGGAGCCAAUCUUCAAAACACCUCUCAGUUCGGAUUGUAGGCUGCAACUCGCCUGCAUGAAGCUGGAAUCGCUAGUAAUCGCAAAUCAGCCAUGUUGCGGUGAAUACGUUCCCGGGUCUUGUACUCACCGCCCGUCACACCAUGGGAGUUGUGUUUGCCUUAAGUCAGGAUGCUAAAUUGGCUACUGCCCACGGCACACACAGCGACUGGGGUGAAGUCGUAACAAGGUAACCGUAGGUGAACCUGCGGUUGGAUCACCUCCUUUCUAGA